This 345-nucleotide ribosomal RNA is filed under the name Attacus atlas. Its description in RNAcentral is "partial 16S ribosomal RNA". The record is from RNAcentral. Lineage: Eukaryota; Metazoa; Arthropoda; Insecta; Lepidoptera; Saturniidae.
GGAAAGGAUUGGAUGAGAUAUAAACUGUCUUAAAAAUAUUUAAUUGAAUUUAAUUUUUUAAUUAAAAAGUUAAGAUAAAUUAAAAAGACGAGAAGACCCUAUAGAGUUUUAUAUUAAUUUAAAUUAAAAUUAUUUAUAAAUUUAUUAGUAUAAAUUUAAUUUUGUAUUUUAUUGGGGUGAUAAAAAAAUAAAUUAAACUUUUUUUAAAAAUUUACAUAAAUAAGUGAAUUAUUGAUCCAAUUUUAUUGAUUAUAAGAAAAAAUUACCUUAGGGAUAACAGCGUAAUUUUUUUUUUUAUUUCUAAUAAAAAAAAGAGUUUGCGACCUCGAUGUUGGAUCAGGAAAA